This 301-nucleotide ribosomal RNA is filed under the name uncultured bacterium. Its description in RNAcentral is "partial 16S ribosomal RNA". It matches the Rfam family "Bacterial small subunit ribosomal RNA", at positions 509 to 807 of the family's 1533-position model. The record is from RNAcentral.
CAGCCGCCGCGGUAAUAUGUAGGGUGCAAGCGUUGUCCGGAAUUAUUGGGCGUAAAGAGCUCGUAGGCGGUUUGUCGCGUCUGCUGUGAAAACCCGAGGCUCAACCUCGGGCCUGCAGUGGGUACGGGCAGACUAGAGUGCGGUAGGGGAGAUUGGAAUUCCUGGUGUAGCGGUGGAAUGCGCAGAUAUCAGGAGGAACACCGAUGGCGAAGGCAGAUCUCUGGGCCGUAACUGACGCUGAGGAGCGAAAGCAUGGGGAGCGAACAGGAUUAGAUACCCCUGUAGUCCCUGUCUCUUAUAC